GGAUGGUCAGUUGAGCAUGGUGCUGGCAACACCAAGGUCAUGGGUUCAAUUCCCAUUCAGUCCU
This 64-nucleotide transfer RNA is filed under the name Apaloderma vittatum (bar-tailed trogon). It matches the Rfam family "tRNA", at positions 17 to 71 of the family's 71-position model. Rfam says of the family: Transfer RNA (tRNA) molecules are approximately 80 nucleotides in length. Their secondary structure includes four short double-helical elements and three loops (D, anti-codon, and T loops). Further hydrogen bonds mediate the characteristic L-shaped molecular structure. tRNAs have two regions of fundamental functional importance: the anti-codon, which is responsible for specific mRNA codon recognition, and the 3' end, to which the tRNAs corresponding amino acid is attached (by aminoacyl-tRNA synthetases). tRNAs cope with the degeneracy of the genetic code in two manners: having more than one tRNA (with a specific anti-codon) for a particular amino acid; and 'wobble' base-pairing, i.e. permitting non-standard base-pairing at the 3rd anti-codon position. Lineage: Eukaryota; Metazoa; Chordata; Aves; Trogoniformes; Trogonidae. The record is from Rfam by way of RNAcentral.